Brassica oleracea var. oleracea is the source of this 269-nucleotide long non-coding RNA. RefSeq lists it as uncharacterized. The transcript is spliced from 3 exons. The record is from RefSeq and is a predicted model, not a curated record. Lineage: Eukaryota; Viridiplantae; Streptophyta; Magnoliopsida; Brassicales; Brassicaceae.
GCUGACAGGUCGAGAUUGCUCAAUCUUAUGAAAGAGGUGGUGCAGCUGUCUCAGUGUUUUGACUGACCAGAAGUAUUUCAAGGAAGGCUUUGAAAACUUGGAAGCAAUAAGAAGCGCUGGUGUUAAGAUUUGGACAUAAACCACAACUAGACAGAAAGAAUAGCUAAUGAUGUAAGUUUCUAAUUCAGCUCUUGUUUCUUAAAUGUUUUGUGAUUGUUUUUUUCUGCUAGUUUAGUUUGUUUGUCUAUUAAUGAGACUUGUUAUUUAGA